Molecule: long non-coding RNA, 1323 nt
Organism: Xenia sp. Carnegie-2017
Lineage: Eukaryota; Metazoa; Cnidaria; Anthozoa; Malacalcyonacea; Xeniidae
Exons: 2
Source: RefSeq, a predicted model, not a curated record
UAGAAGAAGAUGCACCAGAGCAUAUGGAUGACAGGAUGGAGAGCCUUGAGGGUCGCGAUUUCCAAAGAUCCUCAUUUAGCGACCAACGUCAGAUAUGAAUAUCGCUUCUCAAUCACCUCUCUUCGUUCCAUUGGAAAAUGUAAGAUAUCGUCAGUAUAUUAAAGAUGAUCCACUGUUUAUUAAGCUGAUUGAUGAUUGAAAAGGUUGGAAAUUGGCUCUUUUCCAUACUUUGUGCUUUAUACAUUGUCGUCAGUCGAACGUUGGUUAGGGGCAUGGUGACAAUAUUUAUAUAUUCUGUCAUUGCCUGGCUAAUUUCUUUUGAAAGUGAUUUCACUUUAAAAUGACAUCAGUCUGGCUUAACAGAAUAUGUGAAACGUCCCCUUACAAUUAACAUUCGAUUGACGCCAGUGUCUGUAUAGUGCAUGGUAUUUGAAGUGGAAAAAUUGCGACUUUGUGAAGAGUAAUUCUGUUUUUUAGUCCUGGUUCAAACGUCGAAUUUACAUGGACCAAACGCAUUAAAACAAAAGAUAAUAAGGAAGUUUGUCUCAUUUUCUUUUGUUUUUAAUGGGUUUGGUGCAUGUAAAGUUCGACGUUUAAAACAGACUUAAGUAGUUGAAAUACUGAGUUUUGUGCGUAAGCUCGAAGUGACUGUGUAAAUGUACAUUGUGGUGAUUAUAGGCUUGUGAUGUUUCCAAACGGAAAUUGAUGUUUUUCUUUAAACUGCAAUACAUAUGACGAGUGUUUGUGUGUUUGUGUCAAAUGCCGGCGAAGUUUGGUUAAAUGAUGUAUGUAGCUACGACAUUUAUCUUAUUUUCUUAGUGUUUUCUUCAUUAUUCUUGUUUUAUGAAAGUACUACUCAGUCAACAGUGCUUCAAAUUACCAAUGGUAUGUUUGUCGACUGUAACAGUGUAGCAUCAAUGCUUUUGUUAGGUGAUGAUGGUUUGUGUUUGUGCAUAAUUCACUUUUAAAAUGCCUGCUAAGACAUUUAAUGUGUGACAUUUAGAGUGCGUUAUGGCAUUAUUCGAUGAUAAGAAUGAUUUCUCUUUAUAGUGACAGAUUUGUUGAGUAAAAGUUUUUAUUGUUGAAUAAGAAGUAUAUAUAUCAAAUUUUGUUAAGGCUUCAAAAUGUUUUUAAGAAUAGUGAAAUUCAAUAGCAUUCGGGUAAAUUGAUUAAUGCUAGCAAUUUUUUUCAAUGAACGAUAUUUUUUGGAACUGCAUCAUCAAGGUAGUAAUUAUUCUUCAAUUAUAAAAUAUUUUUGUAACUUAAUAUAUCCUUUUUGUUCAAUAUAUAUUUUAUGUUGAAUCAAUAAAAGCAUACCAAAUA